UCCGCCAUAGCUCAGUUGGUAGUAGCGCAUGACUGUUAAUCAUGAUGUCGUAGGUUCGAGUCCUACUGGCGGGG
Molecule: transfer RNA, 74 nt
Filed under: Streptococcus pneumoniae
Lineage: Bacteria; Bacillati; Bacillota; Bacilli; Lactobacillales; Streptococcaceae
Also listed under: 1 other name
Description: tRNA-Asn(gtt)
Rfam family: tRNA
About the family: Transfer RNA (tRNA) molecules are approximately 80 nucleotides in length. Their secondary structure includes four short double-helical elements and three loops (D, anti-codon, and T loops).
Source: RNAcentral